Solanum lycopersicum (tomato) is the source of this 509-nucleotide long non-coding RNA. RefSeq lists it as uncharacterized. NCBI's taxonomy places the organism in Eukaryota, Viridiplantae, Streptophyta, Magnoliopsida, Solanales, Solanaceae. The record is from RefSeq and is a predicted model, not a curated record.
CAGAGUUACAGACCCCUAAUAAUUAGAGGUAGACGUGGUCAUGGGAGAGGCCCCCAUUCUGGAGGACGUGGUGGACAAGGUAAUGGUGGUCACCAAAUCAGCCGGGAUGGCGGGAAAGUUAGAACUACUGCAGCACAACAUGGUAGGGGCAACGGGCAGACAGGUGAUAGGGCCCAUUGUUCCCCUUUCCAAGGAGGUCUGAAGCAGAGACAUCUGAUGCUGUUAUCACAGCAAGCGUGACAUCGACUUCGACUCGUCCUCAACUCUAGCUAGUCUUCAACAUAUCACAUUUCAGGUUCUUUGUAGGUGAAGAGCUUUCGGAAUAAGACUUGGACUAGGAGAUCGUUCAAGAAGAAGUUGAAGUAUGUCCUCACUUGACUCGAGGGCAUAUAUGUCAUAUUAUUUUUCUUUCAUAAACUUUUUUAAUAGUGUGUAUAGUAGUAUGUUUUAAAUUCGUAUGGGUCGUGUCCCAAGUAUUGUCGUGUCUUAAGAUGAUGAAUCGAGACUUA